RNAcentral lists this long non-coding RNA (686 nucleotides) under Crocodylus porosus (Australian saltwater crocodile). RNAcentral describes it as "lncRNA (ENSCPRG00005013988.1)". The record is from RNAcentral. Lineage: Eukaryota; Metazoa; Chordata; Crocodylia; Crocodylidae.
GCUCUUUCAUUUUCCUGCACAAAAAUUUCUAUUGACGGGUUACUUUUGUAAGAGACUGUUUUAUUUCAGAAAGGGAAACAAGGGGAGAAAUCUGCAGAUACUGACUGGAAAGUCACUAAAACUACACACAGCAUCACUAUGUUUCAGGACUAUACCUACAGGCAGCUAUAACUCGCACAGGGAAGAGAGAAGCUUGAAAGAAGAAAUUAGAAACAAGUUUACACGGGUGUCCUCUAUGGCAUUAGAUCAAUAUCUAAGUGCCUUAGGGAAUUCAUUUCAAGAAAACAUUUUCUUGGGGGAGAACCAGGAUGUCUGCCUGGAAGGCUUUUGUCAACAUCACUGUCUCCCUGAAGGCAGAAAAUGAAAUUGAGCAGUUCAAUCAGUGAGCCAUCAUUUCAAGGUUCUGUAAAGAAAACUGAUUAUUUUCUUGUGAAAAACUUGCAAAGAAAGCAUUUAAUUUUACUGUUCAUCAGUGCUUCCUACAUAAUUGUCAAAAAUAUAAAUAUGGUCUUAAAUUCCAGGUUUUGAUUUGGAUCCAGUUGUGCAAAUGCUAUUAAAAAGAAGAGAGGAAAAUAUAUAACUAGAAGUAUGGAUUCCCUAUUCCCUCAUGUGCUGAUAUCAAUAACCCACAGGCAUAUCUAUGACAUUAUAAUAAAAUAUUCAUGUUCUCUCUACUAAGAAGUCCC